RNAcentral lists this unclassified non-coding RNA (143 nucleotides) under uncultured Mortierellales. RNAcentral's name for it is "sequence contains ITS1". The record is from RNAcentral. Lineage: Eukaryota; Fungi; Mortierellomycota; Mortierellomycetes; Mortierellales.
UAAUAAAAGUGAAAUAAUUUAUGGCACUUUUAAAACAAUCCAUAUCCACCUUGUGUGCAAUGUUUAUUUUUAUAUAUUAACUCUUUUUUUAACAUAUAUUAUCUGAAAUUAUUUUAUGAAUUUAUUUACUUAAUUCAAAAAUA